CAGCCGCCGCGGUAAUACGUAGGUGGCAAGCGUUGUCCGGAAUUAUUGGGCGUAAAGGGCUCGCAGGCGGUUUCUUAAGUCUGAUGUGAAAGCCCCCGGCCCAACCGGGGAGGGUCAUUGGAAACUGGGAAACUUGAGUGCAGAAGAGGAGAGUGGAAUUCCACGUGUAGCGGUGAAAUGCGUAGAGAUGUGGAGGAACACCAGUGGCGAAGGCGACUCUCUGGUCUGUAACUGACGCUGAGGAGCGAAAGCGUGGGGAGCGAACAGGAUUAGAUACCCCAGUAGUCCCUGUCUCUUAUAC
This 301-nucleotide ribosomal RNA is filed under the name uncultured bacterium. Its description in RNAcentral is "partial 16S ribosomal RNA". It matches the Rfam family "Bacterial small subunit ribosomal RNA", at positions 509 to 807 of the family's 1533-position model. The record is from RNAcentral.